RNAcentral lists this small RNA (83 nucleotides) under Salmonella enterica subsp. enterica serovar Infantis. Its description in RNAcentral is "partial RtT sRNA". It matches the Rfam family "RtT RNA", at positions 48 to 130 of the family's 130-position model. From Rfam's summary of the family: This family represents a bacterial cis-regulatory element known as RtT RNA. The exact function of RtT is unknown although it is thought that it may be involved in changing the cellular response in relation to amino acid starvation. Lineage: Bacteria; Pseudomonadati; Pseudomonadota; Gammaproteobacteria; Enterobacterales; Enterobacteriaceae. The record is from RNAcentral. RNAcentral also lists the same sequence under 3 other names.
CCGAGCGAAGCGAGAGAACGUUGCGUCAGCAACGGCCCGCAGGGCGAGCCACGCAGUGGCGAGUCAUCCUCUAUCACCGACCA